Molecule: unclassified non-coding RNA, 294 nt
Filed under: plant metagenome
Description: partial contains small subunit ribosomal RNA, internal transcribed spacer 1, and 5.8S ribosomal RNA
Rfam family: 5.8S ribosomal RNA (bases 246-294)
Source: RNAcentral
UUUCCGUAGGUGAACCUGCGGAAGGAUCAUUAACAUAAACAUAUAUAGCAUGUGUUUACUCAUCUUUAUAUAUUCACCAAACCAUGUGCUCUUUAUUUUCACACCUAAAUCUUUUUGUUUGUUUAUUCAAGCAAAAAACAUGUUGUUUUUAUUAUAUUGUGCUUGUCCAUAUUACAGCAAUGUGGUAUGUGCGGCAUAUUUACGACAUUGUUCAUUCAAUGUUUGUAUAAAAUAUGUAAAUAUACAACUGUUAACAAUGGAUAUCUAGGUUCUCACAUCGAUGAAGAACGCAGC